AGGAGACCUUAAAACAUUUAGGAAGAGUAAAUAAGAAUAAAAAAGUAAAUGAAUUUAAGAGACGGUUGAAGCACUUUGUGCCUCAAUGUGAACACCUCUGGAUCUGCAGAUGAAUGAUAUUGAUGAAUUGAUUAAUCUGUAAAGCACUGCACACCAACCAUUCAAGAACAGGCUAUGCAGAAAACUUGUGAAAUCUUAUUCGCAAAGUGCAUUUUGGUUUUGGAUGAAAACUACAUCUAAUAAUGUGCAUAUUGCUUUUGAUUACCUGGAAAUUAAGUCUUGGACCAACUCUCUACAUCUUGAACAAAACCAUCUUCUGAAGAAAACAAGCUGACAGGAGGCAGCAGUUUUUUUCCAAACAGUACACCAACAUUUUUAAAAAAGCUUACCUGCUUGUCACUUAAAAUUUAACAAAUGCAACUGGGAAAGUUUGAAAUUAGCAUCAAUUAGUGCUAGGCAGUAUGGGGAAAUAGGAUAUGGACAUGAGUGUAGGCUUUUCCACUGUAAAGUGGAGAUAAUGUUGUUCCUACAUUUUCUCAAAUGGAUAAGGACAAUCAGGAAGCAACCAACUCUCAGAGAAGGAACCAACUGUACAGUUUGAAUUUUCUGGAAUAUAGAAGGCCUUCAUUGUUUUU
Long non-coding RNA from Numida meleagris (helmeted guineafowl), 635 nucleotides. RefSeq lists it as uncharacterized. The record is from RefSeq and is a predicted model, not a curated record. The transcript is spliced from 3 exons. Lineage: Eukaryota; Metazoa; Chordata; Aves; Galliformes; Numididae.